RNAcentral lists this ribosomal RNA (1335 nucleotides) under Ramalina canariensis. Its description in RNAcentral is "partial large subunit ribosomal RNA". It matches the Rfam family "Eukaryotic large subunit ribosomal RNA", at positions 110 to 1433 of the family's 3401-position model. The record is from RNAcentral. Lineage: Eukaryota; Fungi; Ascomycota; Lecanoromycetes; Lecanorales; Ramalinaceae.
CAAAUUUGAAAUCUGGCUCCUUUGGGGUCCGAGUUGUAAUUUGUAGAGGAUGCUUCGGGUGCGGCACCGGUCUAAGUCCCUUGGAACAGGGCGUCAUAGAGGGUGAGGAUCCCGUAUGUGACCGGCGACCAAGCCCAUGUGAAGCUCCUUCGACGAGUCGAGUUGUUUGGGAAUGCAGCUCAAAAUGGGUGGUAAAUUUCAUCUAAAGCUAAAUACCGGCCAGAGACCGAUAGCGCACAAGUAGAGUGAUCGAAAGAUGAAAAGCACUUUGGAAAGAGAGUCAAAAAGUACGUGAAAUUGUUGAAAGGGAAGCGCUUGUAACCAGACCUGCCGUCGGGUGCUCCGCGGGCAUUCUUGCCCGUCUACUCACCCGCGAUCAGGCCAGCAUCGGUUUUGGCGGCCGGAUAAAGACUCGAGGAAUGUAGCUUCGCUUCGGGGAAGUGUUAUAGCCUCUUGUGCAAUACGGCCAGCCGGGACCGAGGACCGCGCUUCGGCUAGGAUGCUGGCGUAAUGGUUGCAAGCGACCCGUCUUGAAACACGGACCAAGGAGUCUAACAUCUAUGCGAGUGUUUGGGUGUCAAACCCAUGCGCGGAAUGAAAGUGAACGGAGGUGGGAACCCUCAAGGGCGCACCAUCGACCGAUCCGGAAGUUUACGGAUGGAUUUGAGUAUGAGCAUAGCUGUUGGGACCCGAAAGAUGGUGAACUAUGCCUGAAUAGGGUGAAGCCAGAGGAAACUCUGGUGGAGGCUCGCAGCGGUUCUGACGUGCAAAUCGAUCGUCAAAUUUGGGUAUAGGGGCGAAAGACUAAUCGAACCAUCUAGUAGCUGGUUCCUGCCGAAGUUUCGUAAGUUCUUCCGAGGACCACCCCCUAUGAACUCUUGCUAACAAUCUCAACAGCCUCAGGAUAGCAGUAACGUUUUCAGUUUUAUGAGGUAAAGCGAAUGAUUAGAGGCCUGGGGGAUGAAACAUCCUUCACCUAUUCUCAAACUUUCAAUAUGUAAGAAGUCCUUGUUACUUAGUUGAACGUGGACAUUUGAAUGCACCGUUACUAGUGGGCCAUUUUUGGUAAGCAGAACUGGCGAUGCGGGAUGAACCGAACGUGGGGUUAAGGUGCCGGAAUGUACGCUCAUCAGACACCAAGGGGAAGACUUGUGGUGUCUGGCCGGGGGAUAGACCCCCGGCAUCAGUCUGCGAAAGGCGAGGUCUUUGACCUGUAGGGGUCCGCGGUCGCUCCGGCGAUGGCUUACCCUCUGCUGUCCCAUGACCUGGGCAGCUCACAGAUCAAGCAAAGGCCGGCGGCAGUACGCCGUUGGAGAUAUGAUCGGCCCUCGAAGG